ACGGCUCAGUAACACGUGGACAACCUACCCUAUGGUGGGGGAUAACCCCGGGAAACUGGGGAUAAUACCCCAUAGACUAUGGAUGCUGGAAUGCUCUGUAGUUGAAAGGUCCGCCGCCAUAGGAUGGGUCUGCGGCCGAUUAGGUUGUUGUUGGGGUAACGGCCCAACAAGCCUGUAAUCGGUACGGGUUGUGGGAGCAAGAGCCCGGAGAUGGAUUCUGAGACGCGAAUCCAGGCCCUACGGGGCGCAGCAGGCGCGAAAACUUUACAAUGCGGGAAACCGUGAUAAGGGAACUCCGAGUGCCCGUAAAAUCGGGCUGUCCAUCUGUUUAAAUAACAGGUGAAGAAAGGGCCGGGCAAGACCGGUGCCAGCCGCCGCGGUAAUACCGGCGGCUCGAGUGGUGGCCACUAUUACUGGGCUUAAAGCGUUCGUAGCUGGUCUGUUAAGUCUCUGGGGAAAUCUACUGGCUUAACCAAUAGACGUUUCAGGGAUACUGGCAGACUAGGGACCGGGAGAGGUGAGAGGUACUCCAGGGGUAGGAGUGAAAUCCUGUAAUCCUUGGGGGACCACCUGUGGCGAAGGCGUCUCACCAGAACGGCUCCGACAGUGAGGGACGAAAGCUGGGGGAGCAAACCGGAUUAGAUACCCGGGUAGUCCCAGCCGUAAACGAUGCGCGUUAGGUGUAUCGGUGACCACGAGUCACCGAGGUGCCGAAGAGAAAUCGUGAAACGUGCCGCCUGGGAAGUACGGUCGCAAGGCUGAAACUUAAAGGAAUUGGCGGGGGAGCAC
RNAcentral lists this ribosomal RNA (789 nucleotides) under uncultured archaeon. RNAcentral describes it as "bacterial SSU rRNA". It matches the Rfam family "Archaeal small subunit ribosomal RNA", at positions 85 to 879 of the family's 1478-position model. The record is from RNAcentral.